RNAcentral lists this transfer RNA (112 nucleotides) under Asanoa ferruginea. Its description in RNAcentral is "tRNA-Lys". The record is from RNAcentral. Lineage: Bacteria; Bacillati; Actinomycetota; Actinomycetes; Micromonosporales; Micromonosporaceae.
GCGGGCCUAGCUCAACCGGUAGAGCAGUGGACUUUUAAUCCACAGCCUCAUUCAAUGCCCAAUGCGCUGAUCUUUAGAAACGUGCCACUGGAUCAUCCAGUGUGGACCUGCG